GGGCUCUCUUCAGCAACACAUAUGCUAAAAGUAGAACGAUACAGAGAUUAGCAUGGUCCCUGUUCAGAGAUGACAUGCAAAUUCAUGAGGCAUUUCAUAUUUUU
Molecule: small nuclear RNA, 104 nt
Organism: Mustela putorius furo (domestic ferret)
Lineage: Eukaryota; Metazoa; Chordata; Mammalia; Carnivora; Mustelidae
Source: Ensembl